RNAcentral lists this transfer RNA (77 nucleotides) under Mesorhizobium sp. RNAcentral describes it as "tRNA-OTHER". It matches the Rfam family "tRNA". From Rfam's summary of the family: Transfer RNA (tRNA) molecules are approximately 80 nucleotides in length. Their secondary structure includes four short double-helical elements and three loops (D, anti-codon, and T loops). Lineage: Bacteria; Pseudomonadati; Pseudomonadota; Alphaproteobacteria; Hyphomicrobiales; Phyllobacteriaceae. The record is from RNAcentral.
GCUCCCUUCGUCUACCGGUUAGGACACCAGCCCUCUCAGGCUGGAAAAGCGUGGUUCGAUCCCCGCAGGGAGUACCA